UCCAGUUUGACACUGGCAGUCUCCCUAGAGUGCCCAACUUAAUGCUGGCAACAAGGGACGUGGGUUGCGCUCGUUGCGGGACUUAACCCAACAUCUCACGACACGAGCUGACGACAGCCAUGCAGCACCUGUGUAUCGGUCUCCGAAGAGAAAGCCUGCUUUCACAGAGCGAUCCCAUACAUGUCAAGACCAGGAUAAGGUUCUUCGCGUUGCGUCGAAUUAAACCACAUGCUCCACUGCUUGUGCGGGUCCCCGUCAAUUUCUUUGAGUUUUAAUCUUGCGACCGUACUCCCCAGGCGGGAUGCUUAACGCGUUAGCUCCGUCACUGAGAGGGUUAACACUCCCAACGACAAGCAUCCAUCGUUUACGGCGUGGACUAC
RNAcentral lists this unclassified non-coding RNA (380 nucleotides) under uncultured Pseudobdellovibrionaceae bacterium. Its description in RNAcentral is "uncultured Bdellovibrionaceae bacterium contains 16S-23S intergenic spacer region". Lineage: Bacteria; Pseudomonadati; Bdellovibrionota; Bdellovibrionia; Bdellovibrionales; Pseudobdellovibrionaceae. The record is from RNAcentral.